CGAACGAUGAUAUCACUGCUUGCAGUGAUUGAUUAGUGGCGAACGGGUGAGUAACACGUGAGGAACUUGCCCAUGAGCGGGGGACAACAUUCGGAAACGGAUGCUAAUACCCCAUAGGUGGAUUGGUCGCAUGACGAAUUCAUUAAAGGUGGCUUUGCUACCACUCAUGGAUAGCCUCGCGGCGUAUUAGCUAGUUGGUAAGGUAAUGGCUUACCAAGGCAGUGAUACGUAGCCGACUUGAGAGGGUGAUCGGCCACACUGGGACUGAGACACGGCCCAGACUCCUACGGGAGGCAGCAGUAGGGAAUCUUCCACAAUGGGUGCAAACCUGAUGGAGCAAUGCCGCGUGAGUGAAGAAGGUCUUCGGAUCGUAAAGCUCUGUUGUUAGAGAAGAACACGUGCUAGGUAACUACUAGCGCCUUGACGGUAUCUAACCAGAAAGUCACGGCUAACUACGUGCCAGCAGCCGCGGUAAUACGUAGGUGACAAGCGUUGUCCGGAUUUAUUGGGCGUAAAGGGAGCGCAGGCGGUCUGUUUAGUCUAAUGUGAAAGCCCACGGCUUAACCGUGGAACGGCAUUGGAAACUGACAGACUUGAAUGUAGAAGAGGAAAAUGGAAUUCCAAGUGUAGCGGUGGAAUGCGUAGAUAUUUGGAGGAACACCAGUGGCGAAGGCGAUUUUCUGGUCUAACAUUGACGCUGAGGCUCGAAAGCGUGGGGAGCGAACA
RNAcentral lists this ribosomal RNA (726 nucleotides) under uncultured Carnobacteriaceae bacterium. Its description in RNAcentral is "bacterial SSU rRNA". It matches the Rfam family "Bacterial small subunit ribosomal RNA", at positions 63 to 774 of the family's 1533-position model. Lineage: Bacteria; Bacillati; Bacillota; Bacilli; Lactobacillales; Carnobacteriaceae. The record is from RNAcentral.